UGGGGAAUUUUUCCGCCAAAUGGGGAAAAGCCUGGCGGGAGCCCAUUCCCGCGGGAGGGAUGGAAGGGAUUUGGUUCUUUAAACCCUUUCUUCUCAAGAAAGAAGUUCUGCCCGGUACCUUGAGAAUAAGCAUCGGCUAACUCCGUGCCAGCAGCCGCGGUAAUACGGGGGAUGCAAGCCUUAUCCGGAAUCAUUGGGCGUAAAGCGCCUGUAGGUUGUUUAAUAAGUCUGUUGUUAAAGACUAGGGCUUAACCCUAGGAAAGCAAUGGAAACUACUAGACUAGAGUAUGAUAGGGGUAGAGGGAAUUUCUAGUGUAGCGGUGAAAUGCGUAGAUAUUAGGAAGAACACCGGUGGCGAAGGCGCUCUACUGGAUCAUUACUGACACUCAGAGGCGAAAGCCUAGGGUAGCAAAAGGGAUUAGAUACCCCUGUAGUCA
This 437-nucleotide ribosomal RNA is filed under the name uncultured cyanobacterium. RNAcentral's name for it is "bacterial SSU rRNA". It matches the Rfam family "Bacterial small subunit ribosomal RNA", at positions 355 to 796 of the family's 1533-position model. Lineage: Bacteria; Bacillati; Cyanobacteriota. The record is from RNAcentral.